Molecule: non-coding RNA, 20 nt
Filed under: Arabidopsis thaliana (thale cress)
Lineage: Eukaryota; Viridiplantae; Streptophyta; Magnoliopsida; Brassicales; Brassicaceae
Source: RNAcentral
CAUGUAAUAGGGUGUGGUUC